This 484-nucleotide ribosomal RNA is filed under the name uncultured bacterium. RNAcentral describes it as "partial 16S ribosomal RNA". It matches the Rfam family "Bacterial small subunit ribosomal RNA", at positions 30 to 507 of the family's 1533-position model. The record is from RNAcentral.
AUUGAACGCUGGCGGCAGGCCUAACACAUGCAAGUCGAGCGGAUGAAGGGAGCUUGCUCCUGGAUUCAGCGGCGGACGGGUGAGUAAUGCCUAGGAAUCUGCCUGGUAGUGGGGGAUAACGUCCGGAAACGGGCGCUAAUACCGCAUACGUCCUGCGGGAGCAAGUGGGGGAUCUUCGGACCUCACGCUAUCAGAUGAGCCUAGGUCGGAUUAGCUAGUUGGUGGGGCAAGGGCCUACCAAGGGGACGAUCCGUAACUGGUCUGUGAGGAUGAUCAGUCACACUGGAACUGGGACACGGUCAAGACUCCUAAGGGAGGCAGCAGUGGGGAAUAUUGGACAAUGGGCGAAAGCAUGAUCCAGCCAUGCCGCGUGUGUGAAGAAGGUCUUCGGAUUGUAAAGCACGUUAAGUUGGGAGGAAGGGCAGUAAGUUAAUACCUUGCUGGUUUGACGGUACCAACAGAAUAAGCACCGGCUAACUUCGUG